AUUUUUGAGGAAAAAUUUGGACUGAUUGCAACCUCAUUGGACUCUUGUUCAGAAUAAAAAUGCUAAAGCAGUAAUU
Molecule: non-coding RNA, 76 nt
Filed under: Tenacibaculum maritimum
Lineage: Bacteria; Pseudomonadati; Bacteroidota; Flavobacteriia; Flavobacteriales; Flavobacteriaceae
Source: RNAcentral